Molecule: small nuclear RNA, 105 nt
Organism: Molossus molossus (Pallas's mastiff bat)
Lineage: Eukaryota; Metazoa; Chordata; Mammalia; Chiroptera; Molossidae
Source: RefSeq, a predicted model, not a curated record
GCGCUCACUUUGGAAACAUAUACACUAAAAUUGGAAUGAUACAGAGCAGGUUAGAUGCCCCUGCGUAAGGAUAACAUGCAAAUUUGUGAAGUGUUCCUUAUUUUU